This 22-nucleotide non-coding RNA is filed under the name Mus musculus (house mouse). Lineage: Eukaryota; Metazoa; Chordata; Mammalia; Rodentia; Muridae. The record is from RNAcentral.
UGAAGACCCUGACCGGCAAGAC